CCUACGGGUGGCAGCAGUGAAGAAUAUUGGUCAAUGGACGAGAGUCUGAACCAGCCAAGUAGCGUGAAGGAUGACUGCCCUAUGGGUUGUAAACUUCUUUUAUAUGGGAAUAAAAUGUUCCACGUGUGGGAUUUUGUAUGUACCAUAUGAAUAAGGAUCGGCUAACUCCGUGCCAGCAGCCGCGGUAAUACGGAGGAUCCGAGCGUUAUCCGGAUUUAUUGGGUUUAAAGGGAGCGUAGGUGGAUUGUUAAGUCAGUUGUGAAAGUUUGCGGCUCAACCGUAAAAUUGCAGUUGAAACUGGCAGUCUUGAGUACAGUAGAGGUGGGCGGAAUUCGUGGUGUAGCGGUGAAAUGCUUAGAUAUCACGAAGAACUCCGAUUGCGAAGGCAGUUCACUGGACUGCAACUGACACUGAGGCUCGAAAGUGUGGGUAUCAAACAGGAUUAGAUACCCGAGUAGUC
RNAcentral lists this ribosomal RNA (460 nucleotides) under uncultured bacterium. RNAcentral's name for it is "partial 16S ribosomal RNA". It matches the Rfam family "Bacterial small subunit ribosomal RNA", at positions 338 to 795 of the family's 1533-position model. The record is from RNAcentral.